Molecule: transfer RNA, 72 nt
Filed under: Solanum lycopersicum (tomato)
Lineage: Eukaryota; Viridiplantae; Streptophyta; Magnoliopsida; Solanales; Solanaceae
Description: tRNA-Lys
Source: RNAcentral
AAGUAAAGAUCCCUCCCCAAGCCGUGCUUGCACUUUUAAAAGCCGAGUACUCUACCGUUGAGUUAGCAACCC